UUCUCUUUGUCCCCAUGUGGUGUGCUUUGUAGAGUAGUUGUAGGAAGAGGAGGAGUGGUGGUAAGGGUAAGGUUUUUGUAGUUAUGAAUAGUGUUGAUGGCAAGGUGAGUGUAGUAGUAGUAGUAGUAGUAGUAGGGUUAGGAAUUAUUGUAAUACUAACUGUACUACUGCAAGCAAUAUUGAUGGUAAGGUAAAAGUAGUAGUAGUUGGAGGAGGAAGAGGAAGAGGAGAAAAAUGUAAUGCUGGCUAUAAAAUUCUGGCCACAAGCAAUAUUGAUAACAAGGUAAUAGUGUAGUGCUGGGAAAUUAAUUAUGUAUAUUUCUACUUUUUUCCUAGGCUAAGGCCCAUGUAAUGUGCCAGGAUGACCAGAAUCUCAGUACCAUGUGACUAACUCCCCCCCCUUCCCCUCCUCUCCUCAGUGUCCUUUUGUCCUUGCUUUCCCCCCCCCCCCUCUCAGCGUCACUGUGUUGACCACUUCUAUAACAAAAUUUACCCCGUGAAUAAACGUAAUUUCUCCUGCUUGGCCAGGUUAUAGAGGCGAAUUUUUCACCUAAUCCCAGAGAAUGGGGAGCCCUUAAUACGAUAAAAUUAGUUCUAUAAUGGUAAGGUCUUAAACCAGCUCAAACAAAUCCCAGAUAAUUACGCCGCGCCAAUGAGGUUGACGAAUCUGAUAAGUCUUCUUUGCUUCGCUGCCCUGUCACCCCUGUUGCUACGCAAGCCGGGAAGAGAUACCAGACUUUGACUAAUUCCCCAAUUGAUUUCAAAAGUCCAUUGAAUUAAACUUCUUAAAGUAACAACUAUAAAGUAAACAGUAACUUAAUUAUUCAUAUUUUUCAUCCCUGAACUCACAACCUAGUCGCCCCCCCCCCCUACUAAAAACAAAAUUAUAACUUAAUAAAUUUCCCCAUUGGAAACCUUUAUCCUUAGUUUCCCGCCGAUUUCCUCACAAGCAAAGCCAGUCUCUCUCGGAUUCUCCUCAGACCCUCUUGGAUUCCCCUCAGAUAUUCCUGUUGAUAAACUAUUUCUGAGUGGAUAGAUAUUCGCAUUUUUUCGUUCUGUUUUUGUUGGUUUUCUCCACGGGACUAGUGAAACCACCUGGUUCGAGAUCACCGUGUGAGACUGUCCUCAGGUCUAUACAUACUUUUUGGGUAUAUAUUUGUUAUUUAUUUAUUUAUUCUCUGGUCUCCCCCACAACUCAGUAGUCGCGAAAA
Scylla paramamosain (green mud crab) is the source of this 1211-nucleotide long non-coding RNA. RefSeq lists it as uncharacterized. NCBI's taxonomy places the organism in Eukaryota, Metazoa, Arthropoda, Malacostraca, Decapoda, Portunidae. The record is from RefSeq and is a predicted model, not a curated record. The transcript is spliced from 2 exons.